Molecule: ribosomal RNA, 256 nt
Filed under: uncultured bacterium
Lineage: Bacteria
Description: partial 16S ribosomal RNA
Rfam family: Bacterial small subunit ribosomal RNA
Source: RNAcentral
UAAUACGGAGGGUGCGAGCGUUAAUCGGAAUUACUGGGCGUAAAGCGUGCGUAGGCGGUUAAUUAAGUCAGAUGUGAAAGCCCCGGGCUUAACCUGGGAACGGCAUUUGAUACUGGUUAACUAGAGUUUAAUAGAGGGGAGUGGAAUUUCAGGUGUAGCGGUGAAAUGCGUAGAUAUCUGAAGGAACACCAGUGGCGAAGGCGACUCCCUGGAUUAAAACUGACGCUGAGGUACGAAAGCGUGGGUAGCAAACAGG